RNAcentral lists this ribosomal RNA (561 nucleotides) under Streptomyces sp. X3014. RNAcentral describes it as "bacterial SSU rRNA". It matches the Rfam family "Bacterial small subunit ribosomal RNA", at positions 96 to 670 of the family's 1533-position model. The record is from RNAcentral. Lineage: Bacteria; Bacillati; Actinomycetota; Actinomycetes; Kitasatosporales; Streptomycetaceae.
UGGCGAACGGGUGAGUAACACGUGGGCAAUCUGCCCUGCACUCUGGGACAAGCCCUGGAAACGGGGUCUAAUACCGGAUAUUGACCUUCACGGGCAUCUGUGAGGUUCGAAAGCUCCGGCGGUGCAGGAUGAGCCCGCGGCCUAUCAGCUUGUUGGUGAGGUAAUGGCUCACCAAGGCGACGACGGGUAGCCGGCCUGAGAGGGCGACCGGCCACACUGGGACUGAGACACGGCCCAGACUCCUACGGGAGGCAGCAGUGGGGAAUAUUGCACAAUGGGCGAAAGCCUGAUGCAGCGACGCCGCGUGAGGGAUGACGGCCUUCGGGUUGUAAACCUCUUUCAGCAGGGAAGAAGCGAAAGUGACGGUACCUGCAGAAGAAGCGCCGGCUAACUACGUGCCAGCAGCCGCGGUAAUACGUAGGGCGCAAGCGUUGUCCGGAAUUAUUGGGCGUAAAGAGCUCGUAGGCGGCUUGUCACGUCGGUUGUGAAAGCCCGGGGCUUAACCCCGGGUCUGCAGUCGAUACGGGCAGGCUAGAGUUCGGUAGGGGAGAUCGGAAUUCC